CCUACGGGUGGCUGCAGUGGGGAAUAUUGGACAAUGGGCGAAAGCCUGAUCCAGCCAUGCCGCGUGUGUGAAGAAGGCCUUCGGGUUGUAAAGCACUUUCAGUGGGGAAGAAAGCCUUGGGGCUAAUACCCUCGAGGAAGGACAUCACCCACAGAAGAAGCACCGGCUAACUCCGUGCCAGCAGCCGCGGUAAUACGGAGGGUGCGAGCGUUAAUCGGAAUUACUGGGCGUAAAGCGCGCGUAGGCGGUCUGAUAAGCCGGUUGUGAAAGCCCCGGGCUCAACCUGGGAACGGCAUCCGGAACUGUCAGGCUAGAGUGCAGGAGAGGAAGGUAGAAUUCCCGGUGUAGCGGUGAAAUGCGUAGAGAUCGGGAGGAAUACCAGUGGCGAAGGCGGUCUUCUGGACUGACACUGACGCUGAGGUGCGAAAGCGUGGGUAGCAAACAGGACUAGAUACCCUAGUAGUC
This 465-nucleotide ribosomal RNA is filed under the name Vreelandella stevensii. RNAcentral describes it as "partial 16S ribosomal RNA". It matches the Rfam family "Bacterial small subunit ribosomal RNA", at positions 338 to 795 of the family's 1533-position model. Lineage: Bacteria; Pseudomonadati; Pseudomonadota; Gammaproteobacteria; Oceanospirillales; Halomonadaceae. The record is from RNAcentral.